Long non-coding RNA from Mya arenaria, 2661 nucleotides. RefSeq lists it as uncharacterized. The transcript has 2 exons. The record is from RefSeq and is a predicted model, not a curated record. NCBI's taxonomy places the organism in Eukaryota, Metazoa, Mollusca, Bivalvia, Myida, Myidae.
UAAAUUGUGUAAACAUUUGCUUAAGGUAUCAAAUUUCACGUUAUUCAAGCUCUUUCUUUGAUACUGACUGCACGCCAUAUAGUUUCAAAUUACAGAAAGGUUGUCGUUGAAACAUGCUUAUUUUAUCGUUAUCACGGAUGUUUUGGAUGAAUUACAUCGGUUGCUCGGGGUCACUUCAAUCAUUUGGAUAAAAUGUCUGCGACUGAUGAGAGCGGGGGUUUCCGACUGUGAAGGCAGAAUUGGCUGUGAAUCUUGACUGUCCGGGGAACCAUCGUGCGUCGGAAUCCUCGCAAUUCGACACAUCUGCAAAAUUACAGUCUGAUUUAUUGGGCCCUGUCUGCUUACAAUAUAAGCAUAACCAGUAAUUAGGACACACAUUAAAACCGUGUCCUUUUUGUAAACAUUUUGUACAUUUGAGUACUUUCGGCCUCACAUUCUGUCCAAAAUAAAAAAAAAUCCGGCCUGAAAAUUGACCAAAUUGCAUGAAUUUGGGUAAAGGUGCUUUUGAUGUAGACUCUUUAACAAUACAGAUUCGGUCAACGGUUUCACAAUUAUUGAGCUUGCCACUGAUGCGGAGUUUCUCGCGAAAGUGCGAAAUGACAGUGAGGUUUUGUAGAGUGAGCGUUCGCUCAUCUUCAACAAAUAGGGGGAUGUUUUGGACCAGAACCCUAACUGUUCGUUCACCAUCGAACCGGUUAGGAUGUGUAGGAAGGACCGUCAACUUCUUGCCUCGAAGAAUUACCCCCUUAGCCAUCAAUUGCACUUUAUCCUGGACAUUGUCUAGGUAAACACGCUACAUUCCACGAAUGCGUUGAAGUCCAGUUAUAUGAGUGAGUUCAAUUGUCCUACUAAUUGCUUCAUAAAGCUCUACAUGCCUAACAAAUUCCUCCUUAAUGGGGGUUCGUUUCCCAAACAAUUCCACUUCGCGAAUAAACACAAGUGGUAUAUUCAACUGUUGUCCGGACAUGCUGUCCGAAUUUGCGUUGCCCUCGCUAUUGAUUGUGUCCGCUACAACUGUGUUACUGUCCGCCAUUAUGUCAAACUGACCACUCGUAACUAGGUCAAGUCAAAAUGUAGAUAAAACAGUACCUUGUAUCGGUAUACCUAUGUAAUCCGAUAAUCAUUCAAUCGCCAGUAUUCACUUGAUAUUUACACACAAAAUAACAACCUUUGUCGUCCAAACAAUACUUUAAAUCAAUGAUAUUUUCUAGAACAUAAGAAUACAGCCAUAGCAUAUGCCGCUUACGUUUACUUUAUUAAAUAUUCCGCAUUACACAACACAGUAAAUCAUAUACACUAUAAAUGUAAAACAUAUGGUAUUAUCAUGUAAUUCUUAUUUAAGAAGUUUGAGUGGUUGCGAUACAUGAAAAUUAGAGUGUUUUAUUUUGAUAAAGAAACAGAUAAACGAACAUGAAAAAAGACAAAAACACACAAAAUGCUUUAACAAAAAACAAAUUAAUUAAAUAAGCAUUAAUAUUCUACGAAAAGGUAGAAAAAAGACUGUACUAGAGAGUUUUUCUUAAAUGUAAUAUAUUACAUGCCAUUUCUGCUUAUGUGUGCUAUUUAAAAUAUCUUUAUCAGAAAAGAACACAGCAGAACAGAGCAGAAACUCGUUGUUUAUUUUAACAUAUACAGAUCAUCGUUGUUAACAAGCGUGCUUUGAAUGAGUCCAGACUCAAUUCAUUAAUUUACAGAAGAUUAAUGUUACUGGUCGUUAAAUACUUAUUUAACGUGAUUAAGUCGUUGCUCUUUAUACUAUACCUAAGUCCUUAGUUCGAUGCUUUUGUCAAUUCUAUUCUGUCAAGUUAAUUGCUGCAAUAAAACUAUUGCUAUUUUUUCACUGAAUGUUGUCGUAUUGCAAGUUAUACCUGCCCAGUAAACAUAUUUAAAAAUGUUGACUUUUGGUUUUGACAUAAAUACAAAAAAUGUGUAAGUAAAAGAUUUUGAUAUGCUUUUUAUGUUUAAAAAUACCUUUCUUCCCUCGAAUUAUGUGAUGAUAUUUUCUUUUUUGUUGAAACCUUUUGCAAAUGUUUAGGUUCUGAAAAAGAUUUUCAUUUGCAUAUUAUAUUCGACUAAUUAUCUUAACUCGAUUAGUUUUUGGCUGCGUUUCACAAUGUUUGAGCUACAAUUAAAACCUUCGUUCUUCCCUUAUAUGAGUUUGUUUUGUACAGUAUAAAUUAAUGUAUUACUUACGUGUCACCUAUAGGUCUUACCUUAGCCACACACAUUGCGAAAACAAAACGACAUUGGCCAUUUGUCAUCGAAUGAUUUGAUGUUACAAACUAUGUCUGUCAAACAGAACGUAUUUACCAUUAGUCUUUUGCCUUUGGACACCGUUUUGUGACAUGUAUUCACAUUUACGACGGUUCGAUAACAAUAUUUAUAAUUGAAUCUUAAGUUAUCACAUACUAUGUAUGCUAGUUAUCUGAUCGAGCGUGUUCUAAUUUUUAUUUUUGACCAAGACACGAAAUUUAACCCAUUUUCUAUCAUAACUGUGCAAUUGUUGGGACUAUUUUUAAAAUGUUUAGCACUGAAAUACAGAAACGUGUUUUAUCAAACUGUGUGGUUUUACGCACUGUCUUCCCAAAUAACUAAGUACAAAUGUGUUCAAUUGUUGCUACUGACCAAAAUACGAUGAAAUAAAAGACAUUUAUUUUCUGA